This 460-nucleotide ribosomal RNA is filed under the name uncultured bacterium. RNAcentral describes it as "partial 16S ribosomal RNA". It matches the Rfam family "Bacterial small subunit ribosomal RNA", at positions 338 to 795 of the family's 1533-position model. The record is from RNAcentral.
CCUACGGGUGGCAGCAGUGAGGAAUAUUGGUCAAUGGACGAGAGCCUGAACCAGCCAAGUAGCGUGAAGGAUGACUGCCCUAUGGGUUGUAAACUUCUUUUAUAUGGGAAUAAAAUGUUCCACGUGUGGGAUUUUGUAUGUACCAUAUGAAUAAGGAUCGGCUAACUCCGUGCCAGCAGCCGCGGUAAUAAGGAGGGUACGAGCGUUAUCCGGAUUUAUUGGGUUUAAAGGGAACGUAGGUGGGUUGUUAAGUCAGUUGUGAAAGUUUGCGGCUCAACCGUAAAAUUGCAGUUGAAACUGGCAGUCUUGAGUACAGUAGAGGUGGGCGGAAUUCGUGGUGUAGCGGUGAAAUGCUUAGAUAUCACGAAGAACUCCGAUGGCGAAGGCAGCUCACUGGACUGCAACUGACACUGAGGCUCGAAAGUGUGGGUAUCAAACAGGAUUAGAUACCCUGGUAGUC